GACGAACGCUGGCGGCGUGCCUAAUACAUGCAAGUUGAGCGCUGAAGGUUGGUACUUGUACCAACUGGAUGAGCAGCGAACGGGUGAGUAACGCGUGGGGAAUCUGCCUUUGAGCGGGGGACAACAUUUGGAAACGAAUGCUAAUACCGCAUAAAAACUUUAAACACAAGUUUUAAGUUUGAAAGAUGCAAUUGCAUCACUCAAAGAUGAUCCCGCGUUGUAUUAGCUAGUUGGUGAGGUAAAGGCUCACCAAGGGGAUGAUACAUAGCCGAACUGAGAGGGUGAGCGGGCACAUUGGGACGGAGACACGGCCCAAACUCCUACGGGAGGGAGCAGGAGGGAAUCUUCGGCAAUGGACGAAAGUCUGACCGAGGAACGCCGAGUGAGGGAAGAAGGUUGUCGGAUCGGAAAACUCUGUUGGUAGAGAAGAAAGUUGGUGAGAGUGGAAAGCUCAUCAAGUGACGGUAACUACCCAGAAAGCGACGGCUAACUACGUG
RNAcentral lists this ribosomal RNA (497 nucleotides) under uncultured bacterium. RNAcentral's name for it is "partial 16S ribosomal RNA". It matches the Rfam family "Bacterial small subunit ribosomal RNA", at positions 28 to 507 of the family's 1533-position model. The record is from RNAcentral.